RNAcentral lists this ribosomal RNA (1836 nucleotides) under Amphidinium sp. THK-2011 ex Waminoa sp. 1. RNAcentral's name for it is "LSU rRNA". It matches the Rfam family "Eukaryotic large subunit ribosomal RNA", at positions 23 to 1920 of the family's 3401-position model. Lineage: Eukaryota; Dinophyceae; Amphidiniales; Amphidiniaceae. The record is from RNAcentral.
ACCCGCUGAAUUUAAGCAUAUAAGUAGGUGGAGGAAAAGAAACCGAAAGGGAAUCUCUUGGUAAUGGCGAAUGAAAAGAGACAUGCCCAGUGUCAAAAUCAGUUUAUCUGACUUGUAGGCUGUAGGGGAUUGCCAACUUGGGGGCAGGUGCAAGUCUCUUGGAAAGGAGCACCAGCGAGGGUCAGGGUCCUGCCUGUCACCUGUCAUCCCUUGUAGACGGUUUGCCCAAAAAGAGUCGUGUUCUUCUGGAAUAGAGCACCAAUUGGGUGGUACUCUGUGCCCAAGGAGCAUUACGUGCUUGAGACCAAUAGAGAACAAGUACCAUGAGGGAAGGGUGAAAAGGACUUUGGAAAGAGGGUUAAGAGGGCGUGAAGCUGCUGGAAGGGAAGUAGAUUGAAUCUCUCCUUGUGGUAAGAUUGCGGGUUGCAGUCUCUGUCUGGAAUGCUGCCAUCUGUGCCUCUUGCCGCUCGGUUGGGCUUGGCGUUCUGCUGAGAAAUGUGGUGAGGGCUGGCUGAAGGGUUGUAACCUGAACCAUCCUCUUGCUUGCUCUUGGCAAACCGCUUGUGCUCGACCAAACAGUUCAAUCUUACCCGUCUUGAAACACGGACCAAGGAGUCUAAUGCGUGUGCAAGUGUGCAGGAUCUAAACCUGACAGCAUAACGAAUGUUACUUGCUGGGAUUCUUGCACCAGCAGCCAACUGACACUUGGGAGAUGUUUGCGUGUGAGCACACUUGCUAGGACCCGAAAGGUGGUGAACUAUGCCUGAGAAGGGUGACGUCAGGGGAAACUCUGAUGGAAGCUCGUAGCGCUACUGACGUGCAAAUCGUUCGUCUGACUUGGGUAUAGGGGCGAAAGACUAAUCGAACCAUCUAGUAGCUGGUUCCCUCCGAAGUUUCCCUCGGAUAGCUGGAGCAGAAUAGUUUUAUCAGGUAAAGCGAAUGAUUCGAGGCAUUGGGGGUAUGUUGCCCUUGACCCACUCUCAAACUUUUAAUGGGUAAGCUNCACUGCGUUGCCUAAACGACGCAGCGGGAGGAAUAACAGCUCCACGUGGGCCAUUUUUGGUAAGCAGAACUGGCGAUGAGGGAUGAACCUAGCAUUGGGGUAAAGUGCUCGACUGCUCGCUCAUGUGACACCACAAAGGGUGUUGGUUCAUACUGACAGCAGGACGGUGGUCAUGGAAGUUGAAAUCCGCUAAGGAGUGUGUAACAACUCACCUGCCGAAUGGACUAGCCCCGAAAAUGGAUGGCGCUGAAGCGGGUGACUGAUGCCCAAUCAUUGUUGCAAUCUCUGUAACUUUGAGCAGGAGGGCAUGGUGGUUGUUGCAGUGCAGCCCACUCGUGAGCAAGGGUGAAGGAACUUCCAGUGCAGAUCUUGGUGGUAGUAGCAAUUUUUCAAAUGAGAGUUUUUGAAGACCGACGAGGAGAAGGUUUCCAUGUGAACAGCAGUUGGACAUGGGUUAGUCGAUCCUGAGAGCCGAGGUUGUCUCUGUAAGCAGGCUUUGCCGCGUUGCUCGAAAGGGAAUGGGGUUAACAUUCUCCAACCAGAGUGCGGGUAGUGCACGGCAACGUCAACGCCGUUUGGCAACGCGGAGGGGAGCCCUUGGAAGCGAUGUCUUUUCUUGUUUACCCCUCCACACCCUGGAAACAGUCUGCCUGGGGAUAGGGUUGGUUGGUGGGUAUAGCACCUCGCCCUCAGAGGUGUCUGGUGAGCUCCUCACUGCCCUUGAAAAGCUGAACGAGCAAUUAUUCGUCCCUGUCCGUACCCAUAGCCGCAUCAGGUCUCCAAGGUUAGCUGCCUCUGGUCUCUAGAGCAAAGUAGGUAAGGGAAGUCGGCAA